Molecule: long non-coding RNA, 1668 nt
Organism: Chinchilla lanigera (long-tailed chinchilla)
Lineage: Eukaryota; Metazoa; Chordata; Mammalia; Rodentia; Chinchillidae
Source: Ensembl
ACACACUGUGCUGCUGUCCAUUUGUUCUGUGGCUCCAAAUGAGCAGCAAACUACUAGGAAUGGCUGGGCACCUCUGGGCACCCACAGCACACGACACAGGCUGUGACCCCAGACCUUACCAACCUCGUGCAUUGCCUUCCAGGACCCCAGGAGGUGUCUGAAGCCACGGAUGGAACCAAACACCAGGUGUACAGUUGUUUUCCUACAGGUUUUGGAGACAACAUGGAUCUACAUCUAUCUACAAACAAAACUGCAGAAGGCUGAGAACAUCAAGUUGCCCUUGCAUGGCAGGAUGUGUCAUCAUCCCUCUAAGGGGCUGCGUUGUGCUCACGCAGGUGCCCACCACACUGCUGCUCCAGCUACCGAUCACACACAAGGGGACCAAGUGAGCAGCUACAUUCUGUCCACGACGCUGUGCUCACACCUCUGAGACUUCGUGCCCCAGGUGCCACUCACCCCGUAAGACUCACAGCAGGAGAAGCACCUUAGUGGGGAAGUAAAUCGCAGUGAUACAAGCCCCCAGACAACUCCCUUUAGCUACUCCGAGGCUGCUCCAGGCAGGGAAUCGAGCACUGGGAACGUUCACUCACCCUUGCCGGCCCCACCCAGGAUGGAGCAGGGCGUGUGAACAAGAUGGGGGCCCAAGAAAAGCACGCUCCACCCCGCAGAGCCCGCAGCCCUCUGCCGGAGGCUUUCACACAGGCAGGUAAUGAACACACUUGAAUUUACCUUUACUUUAAUAUAACUAAUGAGGUCUUUAUCAUUUAGUAAAAAUAAAUGAAAGUUUUUAUUUCUAUGAUAUUAAAUUGACUUUUAAACUUUUGAAGUGAACGUGUAAAACAUUUCUUUCUUUUUAUCCCUGCUUGGGGAGUUGUAAUUGCAUUUUAACUGGUGCUGUUUCAAGAACAAUUUUAACCUUGAAUUGCAAAUGUGUUGGCUGGAAGUGUAUAUAAAUCACUUCAACUUAGUUUUUAUUAUAAAAGUAUUACAGAGAAUAAUUAGUUUUUAAUCUGUUGGUUGGAAUCAAAGGAGAGCUGAAAUCUCUUCACGCCAGUCCUAUGCAGCAAAGCGUGGGUCCCCAAGAUGUGCGGAGGGGCCGUGCGGCUGAAGGCGGAAGGGACAGAAACCGAAAGGAGCGGAAUGGUGAACCACUACGAGGUUGAAAAGCAGCGUUUUGAGGGACGGACACACAGUGGCAAUGAAACAGAACUGGGGUCCAUUACGAGCACAAUAGCCACCCCAACAGUACACGUCAGGCACUGCGGCGUCUCACCGAAGGUCACGGGGAAACUUGUUUAAAUGCCCAGCCCCUGGAGCACCCCAGCUUACUGAACUGCAGCUGCAGAAAUGGAAGCUGAGAAGAGCGUGCUAAAUGCAGCCCCCUGUCCCUCCUGGGCCCGGGGUGGCUCUACAGCGAGGUCCUCUGCAGAGAGAAAGUCACUGCAUCACAGUCAACGAGCAAAGUGAGCUCUUUCGGGUUGAUGGUGGCCGCCGAAGCUCACUACUUAGUGAUCAUCUUGUCCCACGCACUGCACACCCCACAGUGCUGGACGGAAACUCUGAUGUAAGUGCCUCAUUCCAGACGUCAAGGUCUUGAGCUACACCUCAGAGCUGUGACGCCAGCGGCCACACACAGCUAUUCCAUUAGAAAUGGGGCCAGCCUUCCUG